GACGAACCGUACGAACGUUAUUCGGAAUUACUGGGCUUAAAGGGUGCGUAGGCUGUGCGGAAAGUUGGGUGUGAAAUACCUCAGCUUAACUGAGGAACGGCGUCCAAAACUACCGUGCUUGAGGGAGAUAGAGGUGAGCGGAACUUAGGGUGGAGCGGUGAAAUGCGUUGAUAUCCUGGGGAACACCGGUAGCGAAAGCGGCUCACUGGAUCUCUUCUGACGCUGAGGCACGAAAGCUAGGGGAGCAAACGGG
RNAcentral lists this ribosomal RNA (253 nucleotides) under uncultured bacterium. RNAcentral's name for it is "partial 16S ribosomal RNA". It matches the Rfam family "Bacterial small subunit ribosomal RNA", at positions 524 to 776 of the family's 1533-position model. The record is from RNAcentral.